UCUGCUUCCUGAAUGCCACGAGGUGAACAACUUUGCCUUCACUCUGCCCCUCUGCCAUGCCACCCUGCCUUGGAGCCAGCAGCAUGUAGACUGAAACAUCUACAAACUAGCUGAGAGUCUAUGGUGCCAGAGGACUCCGCAGUGCCAUUCUGUUUCCCUUCUCCUUCCCACUGUUGGAAUCCUGCCCAUCCCCAGCCAUCCUGCAAGGCUGUCCUGACUGCUGUCCCCAUGGUGCUACCCUAGCAACCCAGUUGGCUGGCUUCCAGGGAGGAAGGCAUGGUGAAAGGGACUGGUGGAGGAGAGCUGCUCGUGUCAUGGUGGCCAGGAAGCAGAGAGUAAAGAAGAAGGCAAGAGGGGAGAUGAACCCUUCCGGGUCAUGCCCCCAGUGAUCCACCCACCUCUCCUGAGCAGACCCACCUCCCAACAGCAAGUUCCCUAUAGUGCCCCGUGGUUUAAUCACCUUCCAAAAGCCCUUCCUGUGAGCACAUGAGACACUUGGGGAACAUCCAGACAUAAACCUUUACAAUGGAGUUUCUCAAGCAAACUGAUAAAGGCCUUGAUUACAUCCCUGGCACAUAAAUUAUAAGUAACUGGUGCAUGGUUAUAUAGUAACUGAAUAUUCAAUGAGUGUCUGUUGAGUGAAUGGAUGAAUGAAUCAAUCAAUGAAGAGAUGAACUGUAGUUACAGCUCUAAAGAUACCCGACACAGAAACUUACCAGAUCAUUAUUUUCUGCCAAAGCCACCAAGAAUUUCUUUUCAGAAAAUUGAAGCUGUCCAGUGUUUCAUUUUAAAGGUACAUGGGCUAGAAUCUGCAUUUCCCAGAAAUGACAAAGAAGUGUCUUUUAUUUGCAUCUUGGGUUUUGAUUGACUAUUAUUUUUUACCCACCUUUCACAAGAUUGUGGCACAUAAAAAAUGAAUUUUAAAAUAUUGUUAUUUAUUUAAAAUGUAAUUACGUAAAUAAAUGAAAAAGAGAAUGAGAGAUGAUUUUUCUCAGUUCAUCGUUCAUUCAUUUUAUUCAUCCAGAAACCUACAAGGUGUGAUUGAAAUAUAUGGUGAAUGUUUAAACUUUUAAAAAUUUUCACUAAUCCCCCUUGGUGUACUCUUCCUUGGUUUGAACACACUUAUCCUGUCCUUCUUGCCACUUUCUGAACCAGUUCUGGAAGUCCACUUUUGUGAGUGUCUUUAUGAGCGAUAAAUGCUGCUGCUGAGUACUAUCUGGCAGAAACGCAAGCUGGUAAAAACAUGACUCUGUGCCCUUAUCUACCUAUUCAGUGCAUCUGGCACCAUGCAGCUUCUGGCUCUUCCCUAAAAUAAAUAUGACCAUGAAAGGUGGUAUGGCUUGUGUCUAAAUGUUCCCUCAAAGCCUCAUGAGGUCAUAGGUAGGGGUUUUUCAGAGGUGACUGGAUCUAGAGGGUGUGAUGCUAGGAUUGAUUCAUGGUGCAAUGCUAGAUUCAAGGGCACUAGCAUGAAGGGUGUGAGUGCUAUCCACCCUAACUAGCCUGCAUAAGAUAUAAGGGAUAGAAAGAGCUGUGGUCAUCCCUUGUUGCUUUGCAACCUUCUGCCCUCCAUGAACUAUUUC
This is a long non-coding RNA of Heterocephalus glaber (naked mole-rat), 1580 nucleotides long. The record is from Ensembl. Lineage: Eukaryota; Metazoa; Chordata; Mammalia; Rodentia; Bathyergidae.